GACGAACGCUGGCGGCGUGCUUAACACAUGCAAGUCGAACGGAAAGGCCCUGCUUUUGUGGGGUGCUCGAGUGGCGAACGGGUGAGUAACACGUGAGUAACCUGCCCUUGACUUUGGGAUAACUUCAGGAAACUGGGGCUAAUACCGGAUAGGAGCUCCUGCUGCAUGGUGGGGGUUGGAAAGUUUCGGCGGUUGGGGAUGGACUCGCGGCUUAUCAGCUUGUUGGUGGGGUAGUGGCUUACCAAGGCUUUGACGGGUAGCCGGCCUGAGAGGGUGACCGGGCACAGUGGGACUGGGAAACGGCCCAGAGUCCUACGUGAGGCAGCAGUGGGGAAUAGUGCACAAUGGGCGGAAGCAGGAUGCAGCAACGCCGGGUGGGGGAGGACGGCUUUCGGGUUGGAAAAUGCUUUCGCCUGUGACGAAGCGUGAGUGACGGAAAUGGGUAAAGAAGCACCGGCUAACUACGU
This 467-nucleotide ribosomal RNA is filed under the name uncultured bacterium. RNAcentral's name for it is "partial 16S ribosomal RNA". It matches the Rfam family "Bacterial small subunit ribosomal RNA", at positions 28 to 506 of the family's 1533-position model. The record is from RNAcentral.